CUACGGGGGGCACCAGUAGGGAAUAUUGGACAAUGGGGGCAACCCUGAUCCAGCGAUGCCGCGUGUAUGAAGAAGGCCUUCGGGUUGUAAAGUACUUUCAGCGGGGAGGAAGGGAGUAAAGUUAAUACCUUUGCUCAUUGACGUUACCCGCAGAAGAAGCACCGGCUAACUCCGUGCCAGCAGCCGCGGUAAUACGGAGGGUGCAAGCGUUAAUCGGAAUUACUGGGCGUAAAGCGCACGCAGGCGGUUUGUUAAGUCAGAUGUGAAAUCCCCGGGCUCAACCUGGGAACUGCAUCUGAUACUGGCAAGCUUGAGUCUCGUAGAGGGGGGUAGAAUUCCAGGUGUAGCGGUGAAAUGCGUAGAGAUCUGGAGGAAUACCGGUGGCGAAGGCGGCCCCCUGGACGAAGACUGACGCUCAGGUGCGAAAGCGUGGGGAGCAAACAGGAUUAGAUACCCCCGUAGUC
This 464-nucleotide ribosomal RNA is filed under the name uncultured bacterium. RNAcentral describes it as "partial 16S ribosomal RNA". It matches the Rfam family "Bacterial small subunit ribosomal RNA", at positions 339 to 795 of the family's 1533-position model. The record is from RNAcentral.